Molecule: ribosomal RNA, 468 nt
Filed under: uncultured bacterium
Lineage: Bacteria
Description: partial 16S ribosomal RNA
Rfam family: Bacterial small subunit ribosomal RNA
Source: RNAcentral
GACGAACGCUGGCGGCGUGCUUAACACAUGCAAGUCGAACGGAAAGUCCCUGCUUUUGUGGGGUCCUCGAGUUGCCAACGGGUGAGUAACACGUGAGUAACCUGCCCCUGACUGUGGGAUAACUUCAGGAAACUGAGGCUCAUACCGGAUAGGAGCUCUCGCUGCUUGGUGGGGGUUGGAAAGUUUCGGUGGUUGGGGAUGGACUCGCGGCUUAUCAGCUUGUUGGUUGGGUAGUGGCUGACCAAGGCCUGGACACGUAGCCGACCUGAGAGGGUGACCGGCUCAAUUGGGAUUGAGCUACGACACAGACUCGUACGGUAGGCAGCGGAGGAGAAUAGUGCAUAAUGGGCGGAAGGCUGAUGUAGCCACGCCGCGUGGGGGAUGACGUGCUGCGGGUAGUAAACCACUUCCGCUUGUGACGAAGCGUGAGUGACGGUAAUGGGUGAAGAAGCACCGGCUAACUACGUG